RNAcentral lists this microRNA precursor (89 nucleotides) under Mus musculus (house mouse). RNAcentral's name for it is "predicted gene, 56409 (ENSMUSG00002076145.1)". Lineage: Eukaryota; Metazoa; Chordata; Mammalia; Rodentia; Muridae. The record is from RNAcentral.
AUAUAUAUGUGUGUGUGUGUGUGUGUGUGUGUGUGUGUGUGUGUGUAUACACACAUAUAUAUACACACAUAGAUGUAUAUACAUAUAUA